UCGUCGUGUCGGUCACUUGAUGAAAAAUUCCGCCAGCGAAUCGAUAAAAAGUGAAUUUCCUUCGUCUGUCGUUGUACAAUCGGACAUUAAAGUCGUGCGUCUCUCUCAGUGCUCGUCCGUUCCUUGUCCGAAAGUCUUGGACAAAAAAAAUAAUGCACUUCCCCGUGUGGACUCUUAUCAACUGAUAAGAACUGUUGUUGAAGUCAGGAAUGUCAAGGACACGUGAAAUGCCGCCGACCCGGAAAAGCCUGAAUUCGUCUUGAGUUAAAGUGUUUGAAAAGUCGAAAUAAAUAAUAAAAAAUU
Molecule: long non-coding RNA, 303 nt
Organism: Tribolium castaneum (red flour beetle)
Lineage: Eukaryota; Metazoa; Arthropoda; Insecta; Coleoptera; Tenebrionidae
Exons: 2
Source: RefSeq, a predicted model, not a curated record